GGGGUAUGCGAUUCAACGCUAAAAAAUGCUACAUCCUGAGCAUAAAAAACAAAAGCCAGAGAUUCUACACACUCAACGGCCAGAUACUCCAACAAGUUCAGAACAACCCAUACCUAGGAGUGCAGAUAUCAGAAGACCUGAAGUGGAGCAUGCACAUAACAAACGUUGCAAAAAAGGCAAGUUCAACCCUUGGCUUCCUCAGAAGGAAUUUAAGAU
This 216-nucleotide long non-coding RNA is filed under the name Mytilus galloprovincialis (Mediterranean mussel). Lineage: Eukaryota; Metazoa; Mollusca; Bivalvia; Mytilida; Mytilidae. The record is from RNAcentral.